AUAAAGAUGGAGUACUGUACU
Non-coding RNA from Caenorhabditis elegans, 21 nucleotides. The record is from Ensembl. Lineage: Eukaryota; Metazoa; Nematoda; Chromadorea; Rhabditida; Rhabditidae.